GACGAACGCUGGCGGCGUGCUUAACACAUGCAAGUCGAACGGAAAGGCCCUGCUUUUGUGGGGUGCUCGAGUGGCGAACGGGUGAGUAACACGUGAGUAACCUGCCCUUGACUUUGGGAUAACUUCAGGAAACUGGGGCUAAUACCGGAUAGGAGCUCCUGCUGCAUGGUGGGGGUUGGAAAGUUUCGGCGGUUGGGGAUGGACUCGCGGCUUAUCAGCUUGUUGGUGGGGUAGUGGCUUACCAAGGCUUUGACGGGUAGCCGGCCUGAGAGGGUGACCGGCCACAUUGGGACUGAGAUGCGGCCCAGACUCCUACGGGAGGCAGCAGUGCGGAAUAUUGCACAAUGGGCGGAAGCCUGAUGCAGCAACGCCGCGUGCGGGAUGACGGCCUUCGGGUUGUAAACCGCUUUCGCCUGUGACGAAGCGUGAGUGACGGUAAUGGGUAAAGAAGCACCGGCUAACUACGUG
RNAcentral lists this ribosomal RNA (468 nucleotides) under uncultured bacterium. RNAcentral's name for it is "partial 16S ribosomal RNA". It matches the Rfam family "Bacterial small subunit ribosomal RNA", at positions 28 to 507 of the family's 1533-position model. The record is from RNAcentral.